RNAcentral lists this transfer RNA (84 nucleotides) under Caudoviricetes sp. RNAcentral describes it as "tRNA-Leu". It matches the Rfam family "tRNA". Rfam says of the family: Transfer RNA (tRNA) molecules are approximately 80 nucleotides in length. Their secondary structure includes four short double-helical elements and three loops (D, anti-codon, and T loops). Lineage: Duplodnaviria; Heunggongvirae; Uroviricota; Caudoviricetes. The record is from RNAcentral.
ACCGGUGUGGCGGAAUGGCAGACGCAGGAGACUUAAAAUCUCUCGCCUAAUGGCAUGUGGGUUCGAGUCCCACCACCGGUACCA